This 466-nucleotide long non-coding RNA is filed under the name Numida meleagris (helmeted guineafowl). RNAcentral describes it as "lncRNA (ENSNMEG00000018321.1)". The record is from RNAcentral. Lineage: Eukaryota; Metazoa; Chordata; Aves; Galliformes; Numididae.
CAAAUUAUAAGGGUGGUUUUUGACAUUUGUGGGCCUUCAGUGCAUAAAUACACAGAAAUUUAGGAUGUCCUAGAUAAAAAUGGAACAGAUUUCAAGAGACCUCAGCACUUUUUUAUGUGGCAGUGCCUCCAUGGCUCCCCUACAUCACCACCUGCAAGCAAACCUCAGCACCACCAGCCUGGAUGGAGCCCUCAGUGCCAGGGGUACAAGAACCAAUGCUGACUAUGCUCACAGUGACCUCACUGGGGAUAGCCUGCUCAGGAUGAGACAGUCAGAGGGAGACCAGGAGCCUGCUCACAUCUGCACUUGAGACAUCUCCAAAAUUUGCACGAAUGAAAAUGUUGCUACCAGAAUACUUUUGAUGCAGUAGAGUUUUGAAUACAUGGAUUCAUGUCUGAAACCACAAUGUGUUAUAUCUGUGCAUCUGGAAGUGCAAUAAACUGUUUUUCCCAUGUUGUUUCUUUCA